CAUGCAGUCGAACGAUGAUGCCCAGCUUGCUGGGUUGAUUAGUGGCGAACGGGUGAGUAACACGUGAGUAACCUGCCCCUGACUCUGGGAUAAGCGUUGGAAACGACGUCUAAUACUGGAUAUGAUCGCCGGCCGCAUGGUCUGGUGGUGGAAAGAUUUUUUGGUUGGGGAUGGACUCGCGGCCUAUCAGCUUGUUGGUGAGGUAAUGGCUCACCAAGGCGACGACGGGUAGCCGGCCUGAGAGGGUGACCGGCCACACUGGGACUGAGACACGGCCCAGACUCCUACGGGAGGCAGCAGUGGGGAAUAUUGCACAAUGGGCGAAAGCCUGAUGCAGCAACGCCGCGUGAGGGAUGACGGCCUUCGGGUUGUAAACCUCUUUUAGUAGGGAAGAAGCGAAAGUGACGGUACCUGCAGAAAAAGCACCGGCUAACUACGUGCCAGCAGCCGCGGUAAUACGUAGGGUGCAAGCGUUGUCCGGAAUUAUUGGGCGUAAAGAGCUCGUAGGCGGUUUGUCGCGUCUGCUGUGAAAUCCCGAGGCUCAACCUCGGGCUUGCAGUGGGUACGGGCAGACUAGAGUGCGGUAGGGGAGAUUGGAAUUCCUGGUGUAGCGGUGGAAUGCGCAGAUAUCAGGAGGAACACCGAUGGCGAAGGCAGAUCUCUGGGCCGUAACUGACGCUGAGGAGCGAAAGCAUGGGGAGCGAACAGGAUUAGAUACCCUGGUAGUCCAUGCCGUAAACGUUGGGCGCUAGAUGUAGGGACCUUUCCACGGUUUCUGUGUCGUAGCUAACGCAUUAAGCGCCCCGCCUGGGGAGUACGGCCGCAAGGCUAAACUCAAAGGAAUUGACGGGGGCCCGCACAAGCGGCGGAGCAUGCGGAUUAAUUCGAUGCAACGCGAAGAACCUUACCAAGGCUUGACAUACCCCGGAAACGGCCAGAGAUGGUCGCCCCCUUGUGGUCGGUGUACAGGGUGGUGCAUGGUUGUCGUCAGCUCCUG
RNAcentral lists this ribosomal RNA (997 nucleotides) under Curtobacterium flaccumfaciens. RNAcentral's name for it is "bacterial SSU rRNA". It matches the Rfam family "Bacterial small subunit ribosomal RNA", at positions 54 to 1064 of the family's 1533-position model. Lineage: Bacteria; Bacillati; Actinomycetota; Actinomycetes; Micrococcales; Microbacteriaceae. The record is from RNAcentral.